UACAGAGGGGGCAAGCGUUGUUCGGAAUUACUGGGCGUAAAGGGCGCGUAGGCGGCCACCUAAGUCAGACGUGAAAUCCCUCGGCUCAACCGGGGAACUGCGUCUGAUACUGGGUGGCUUGAAUUCGGGAGAGGAAUGCGGAAUUCCAGGUGUAGCGGUGAAAUGCGUAGAUAUCUGGAGGAACACCGGUGGCGAAGGCGGCAUUCUGGACCGACAUUGACGCUGAGGCGCGAAAGCCAGGGGAGCAAACGGG
RNAcentral lists this ribosomal RNA (253 nucleotides) under uncultured bacterium. RNAcentral's name for it is "partial 16S ribosomal RNA". It matches the Rfam family "Bacterial small subunit ribosomal RNA", at positions 524 to 776 of the family's 1533-position model. The record is from RNAcentral.